UUGUUCCCUCACCACCUGUGAUGUUGCCUGAGGCCUGUUCAACGCGGAAGCGGAAGCAAGGCAUCUUCAGUCCCCAAGGAGCCAGCCAAUGAGGCACCAUUCCAAGCCUGUUCCUCAGAGGUGAGACAGGCCCUGGAAGGUUCUGGAUGUCAUCAGAGGCUGAGGCUGUCCUGGACACUUGGCCUUACUAGCAGCUAAGAGAACAGAGAGACAAGGAAGAAGAUUUGCUGACACGUGCUAUUGGAAACACGGAUUCUGAAAUUUAUAAAUCCUGAAGAGGAAACACACCUGGGGACACGUCUUCCUCUGGGUACCAUCUCAAUGUUCU
RNAcentral lists this long non-coding RNA (328 nucleotides) under Meriones unguiculatus (Mongolian gerbil). RNAcentral's name for it is "lncRNA (ENSMUGG00000020652.1)". Lineage: Eukaryota; Metazoa; Chordata; Mammalia; Rodentia; Muridae. The record is from RNAcentral.